CUGACCGAUAGUGAACCAGUACCGUGAGGGAAAGGCGAAAAGAACCCCGGAGAGGGGAGUGAAAUAGAACCUGAAACCGUAUGCGUACAAGCAGUGGGAGCCUACUUGUUAGGUGACUGCGUACCUUUUGUAUAAUGGGUCAGCGACUUAUAUUCAGUGGCAAGCUUAACCGUAUAGGGUAGGCGUAGCGAAAGCGAGUCUUAAUAGGGCGUUUAGUCGCUGGGUAUAGACCCGAAACCGGGCGAUCUAUCCAUGAGCAGGUUGAAGGUUAGGUAACACUGACUGGAGGACCGAACCCACUCCCGUUGAAAAGGUAGGGGAUGACUUGUGGAUCGGAGUGAAAGGCUAAUCAAGCUCGGAGAUAGCUGGUUCUCCUCGAAAGCUAUUUAGGUAGCGCCUCAUGUAUCACUCUGGGGGGUAGAGCACUGUUUCGGCUAGGGGGUCAUCCCGACUUACCAAACCGAUGCAAACUCCGAAUACCCAGAAGUGCCGAGCAUGGGAGACACACGGCGGGUGCUAACGUCCGUCGUGAAAAGGGAAACAACCCAGACCGCCAGCUAAGGUCCCAAAGUUGUGGUUAAGUGGUAAACGAUGUGGGAAGGCUUAGACAGCUAGGAGGUUGGCUUAGAAGCAGCCACCCUUUAAAGAAAGCGUAAUAGCUCACUAGUCGAGUCGGCCUGCGCGGAAGAUGUAACGGGGCUCAAACCACACACCGAAGCUGCGGGUGUCACGUAAGUGACGCGGUAGAGGAGCGUUCUGUAAGCCUGUGAAGGUGAGUUGAGAAGCUUGCUGGAGGUAUCAGAAGUGCGAAUGCUGACAUGAGUAACGACAAUGGGUGUGAAAAACACCCACGCCGAAAGACCAAGGGUUCCUGCGCAACGUUAAUCGACGCAGGGUUAGUCGGUUCCUAAGGCGAGGCUGAAAAGCGUAGUCGAUGGGAAACAGGUUAAUAUUCCUGUACUUCUGGUUACUGCGAUGGAGGGACGGAGAAGGCUAGGCCAGCUUGGCGUUGGUUGUCCAAGUUUAAGGUGGUAGGCUGAAAUCUUAGGUAAAUCCGGGGUUUCAAGGCCGAGAGCUGAUGACGAGUCGUCUUUUAGAUGACGAAGUGGUUGAUGCCAUGCUUCCAAGAAAAGCUUCUAAGCUUCAGGUAACCAGGAACCGUACCCCAAACCGACACAGGUGGUCGGGUAGAGAAUACCAAGGCGCUUGAGAGAACUCGGGUGAAGGAACUAGGCAAAAUGGCACCGUAACUUCGGGAGAAGGUGCGCCGGCUAGGGUGAAGGAUUUACUCCGUAAGCUCUGGCUGGUCGAAGAUACCAGGCCGCUGCGACUGUUUAUUAAAAACACAGCACUCUGCAAACACGAAAGUGGACGUAUAGGGUGUGACGCCUGCCCGGUGCCGGAAGGUUAAUUGAUGGGGUUAGCGCAAGCGAAGCUCUUGAUCGAAGCCCCGGUAAACGGCGGCCGUAACUAUAACGGUCCUAAGGUAGCGAAAUUCCUUGUCGGGUAAGUUCCGACCUGCACGAAUGGCGUAACGAUGGCGGCGCUGUCUCCACCCGAGACUCAGUGAAAUUGAAAUCGCUGUGAAGAUGCAGUGUAUCCGCGGCUAGACGGAAAGACCCCGUGAACCUUUACUGUAGCUUUGCACUGGACUUUGAGCCUGCUUGUGUAGGAUAGGUGGGAGGCUUUGAAGCGUGGACGCCAGUUCGCGUGGAGCCAUCCUUGAAAUACCACCCUGGCAUGCUUGAGGUUCUAACUCUGGUCCGUAAUCCGGAUCGAGGACAGUGUAUGGUGGGCAGUUUGACUGGGGCGGUCUCCUCCUAAAGAGUAACGGAGGAGUACGAAGGUGCGCUCAGACCGGUCGGAAAUCGGUCGUAGAGUAUAAAGGCAAAAGCGCGCUUGACUGCGAGACAGACACGUCGAGCAGGUACGAAAGUAGGUCUUAGUGAUCCGGUGGUUCUGUAUGGAAGGGCCAUCGCUCAACGGAUAAAAGGUACUCCGGGGAUAACAGGCUGAUACCGCCCAAGAGUUCAUAUCGACGGCGGUGUUUGGCACCUCGAUGUCGGCUCAUCACAUCCUGGGGCUGAAGCCGGUCCCAAGGGUAUGGCUGUUCGCCAUUUAAAGUGGUACGCGAGCUGGGUUUAGAACGUCGUGAGACAGUUCGGUCCCUAUCUGCCGUGGACGUUUGAGAUUUGAGAGGGGCUGCUCCUAGUACGAGAGGACCGGAGUGGACGAACCUCUGGUGUUCCGGUUGUCACGCCAGUGGCAUUGCCGGGUAGCUAUGUUCGGAAAAGAUAACCGCUGAAAGCAUCUAAGCGGGAAACUUGCCUCAAGAUGAGAUCUCACUGGGAACUUGAUUCCCCUGAAGGGCCGUCGAAGACUACGACGUUGAUAGGCUGGGUGUGUAAGCGUUGUGAGGCGUUGAGCUAACCAGUACUAAUUGCCCGUGAGGCUUGACC
Molecule: ribosomal RNA, 2459 nt
Filed under: Pseudomonas aeruginosa
Lineage: Bacteria; Pseudomonadati; Pseudomonadota; Gammaproteobacteria; Pseudomonadales; Pseudomonadaceae
Description: bacterial LSU rRNA
Rfam family: Bacterial large subunit ribosomal RNA
Source: RNAcentral